RNAcentral lists this transfer RNA (68 nucleotides) under Dipodomys ordii (Ord's kangaroo rat). It matches the Rfam family "tRNA". From Rfam's summary of the family: Transfer RNA (tRNA) molecules are approximately 80 nucleotides in length. Lineage: Eukaryota; Metazoa; Chordata; Mammalia; Rodentia; Heteromyidae. The record is from Rfam by way of RNAcentral.
GGCGCUGUGGCUCAAGUGGUAGAGCACUAGCCUUGAGCUCGAGGCCUGGGUUCGAUUCCUCAGCACCA